UGUCUCCUCCACCUCCAACCGGUGGAUUCGGCCCGGGGCCCCAAGCCCCGGGCCUUUUUUC
RNAcentral lists this non-coding RNA (61 nucleotides) under beta proteobacterium AAP65. RNAcentral describes it as "Betaproteobacteria toxic small RNA". It matches the Rfam family "Betaproteobacteria toxic small RNA". Rfam says of the family: Overexpression in amino aid rich medium attenuates growth, suggesting role in repressing amino acid intake and metabolism. Lineage: Bacteria; Pseudomonadati; Pseudomonadota; Betaproteobacteria. The record is from Rfam by way of RNAcentral.